RNAcentral lists this ribosomal RNA (206 nucleotides) under uncultured bacterium. RNAcentral describes it as "partial 16S ribosomal RNA". It matches the Rfam family "Bacterial small subunit ribosomal RNA", at positions 568 to 774 of the family's 1533-position model. The record is from RNAcentral.
CGCGUAGGCGGGGAUACAAGUCAGGUGUGAAAUCUAUGGGCUUAACCCAUAAACUGCACUUGAAACUGUAUCUCUUGAGUGUCGGAGAGGUAGACGGAAUUCCUAGUGUAGCGGUGAAAUGCGUAGAUAUUAGGAGGAACACCAGUGGCGAAGGCGGUCUACUGGACGAUAACUGACGCUGAGGCGCGAAAGCGUGGGAGCAAACA